CCCUAUGGGGUGCAGCAGGCCAUAGUCGCGGCGUUCGCCGAGGUUGUGGAGGAGUUUGCCGUAUUUCACAAAGAGGCCGUUGAGGAGUGAAUCGGAGGAAUGUCCCUUGCCGGGCUGAACCACCAGACCCACGGGCUUGUCGAUCACGAUGAGGUCGGCAUCCUCGUAGGUGACGGUAAAGGUGACCUUGGGGUUUGGCCGGAUGGCGAGUUUGAGGGGCGCAUCGGCUUUGGCCACUUCAGUGAUGGGGUCGACCGAGGGUUCGGUUGGGGAUUCAGACAUUUGGUUUACCACGAUUCAUAGAGAAACAGAAACGCAACACUCAUAGAUUGUAACGAAGUGGCUUACUGAAUGCUUUGAAAGCGGGGAUAUUUUGUGUGGGUAGGAAUUGGCGGGAGGGC
This 401-nucleotide ribosomal RNA is filed under the name uncultured prokaryote. Its description in RNAcentral is "partial 16S ribosomal RNA". The record is from RNAcentral.